RNAcentral lists this long non-coding RNA (3880 nucleotides) under Homo sapiens (human). RNAcentral's name for it is "HSALNT0322529". The record is from RNAcentral. Lineage: Eukaryota; Metazoa; Chordata; Mammalia; Primates; Hominidae.
ACAGGUGUGGCACCCGCCCGCCCCGCCGCACGGAGCCGCCUGCCCGCGGCCACACGCCAGGCGUCACUCGGGCUGGCGCCGGUCUACCUAGGCAGGCGUGGGACCUGUCGGGGGCUUCACGGCAGCGCGGAAGGCCAGCCUGCAGAGAGGCUGGGCCCAGCGCCCUGACUGACCCAGCCCCGCCACGUCCAAGGUUCCCGCCCUCUGGAGGAAGCCGCGCAAUCACUCCGGGGGCGGGGAGAGACAGACAACUGAGAGGAAGGAGGUACCACGGGCACUCUCUCGCGAGAGGGCCGCAGAGCCGCCUUUGACGGGGGCGUGUACCUGGAGAGCAACGGUAAGGACGGAGCCGACGGCUCCGGCGUCGGGUCGGUUCCGGCAUCGACGUAUCGUUUGGUCGCCCCAGAGAGGAGACAGGUUUCUUCAGCUUGCCGCUGAGGAUGUGGCAUCGGCUGCGCUCACCGCCGCCGCCUCUGUGAACUGCGGGAGUUGGGACAGCGGCCAGGGCUAGAUGGGUGGGACGCGAGUCCUCGCCGAAAGCUUGCCCUGUGCGGGGCGCACUUGGAGGCGAGCUCUGGGCCGUGGCGAGUUUUGCAGCCUAAGGUCUUGGCAGGCGCAUUGCUGUGGGCUGCCGGAGAGCAGGCUGGAGUUCGAGACCGCCCACCGGAGAGCAGGCGAGAGUUCGAGGCCUAGUGACAUCUGUUUGAGCAGAUGAAUAUGCCAUUGGGAAAGUCAAGGACUGUCGGAGAGGAGGACAUGGCAGACCUUAACUAAAGUGAGGGGGACAGUAGAGCACUAAAAGUUCUAGGAAAGGAGAUGAACUGCUUAUUCCAUCAGAUGAAAAUAUAGUCAGAACAGAUGAGUAGUAGAACUUAAACAUGCCCGGAGUUGCCAGGAAUUUGCAAAAGCCUUGAUAUAAUUCCUGUUGCUGUAGAAAGACUUUCUACAGUCACUAAUAUAUCAAGUUAUGUUCACUAGAAAAAAAGUUUACUUAGUUUAUAGAAAUGGGCUGAAAAAUCCUAAUUACUUAUCUGUGAGGUUAUUUUCAUGAAGGUUAAUCAUCCAGAAACUAUUAGAGAGCCUCGGAAUAUAUUUCUUCUAAUCUGCUCUACCUAUCCCAUUCAAAGGAGGGAAUCUGAAGAUUUAAGGACAAAGAGCAGUUGAAAACUCAGAGCUGUGGUUAAUGGGAGAAUUUCAAGGAUGGUGAAAAAAACUAACAUCAUUGCAUCCCUGUUUUUUGUAUUCUGGACUUUUUAGUUUAGCUCUUGGUAAACUACAUCAGAAAUUCUUUAUGCUAACUCUAACACACAUUUUGGGGUAUUGCUAAUUUAAUCUUUGAAUACUGUUUUUGCUGUUUCAUGAUUAUAUGUUAUGUCCUACCAGCUAGAUUGCCAACUCUUGACUACUGACUGGAAGUUUAUUGUUUAUUCAGCAAAUAAUGAAUUAAGUCAGUGAAGUGAGAGAUUUCGUGUGUAAGGAUUGUUAACUUGAACAUUUCACCAGUUACACACAGUUCAGCCCUACUUAAAUUUUAAAAAUCAUUGUUGGCACUUGACAUUGUUAUGAGGAGUUUUGUAUUUUCAACUUGUAUUUUGAGAGUGUCCUCAUGUGACUGAAGUAUGUGCUACUCUUCUUAAUUGAAUAACCCCAGAAUCUCCAGAAUUGAUAAUUGGAGGAAAUUCUACUGUUGGAAAGAAUGGAUGGAUUAUACAGCCCUGUUUUUUGACUGUUCAUUUUGUCCUUGGAGUCACUACCACUUGGCCUCAAAGUGUGAACAUGUAACCCUUUCCUUAAUACUUUGCUACACAGCUGAGCAGAAACUGUAAAUUUGGAUCCUUUGUCAGUACAACUUAAAAUGGAACAAUUUCAAUGGCUUAGGGUAAGAUAAGUAUGUAAAGAUACUUUUGUAAUAGAAGAAAAAACAUUGGAUAUUAAAAUCACACAGUAGUACCUGGGUGUGGUGGCUCAUGCCUAUAAUCCCAACGCUUUGGGAGGCCAAGACAGGAGCACUGCUGGAGGCCAGGAAUUUGAGACCAGCCUGGCCAACAUGGUGAAACCUCGUCUCUACCAAAAAAUACAAAAAUCAGCCAGGUGUGGUGGCACAUGCCUGUAAUCCCGGAUACUCGGGAGGCUGAGGUGGGAGAAUCGCUUGAACCAGGGAGGUGGAGGUUGCAGUGAGCUGAAAUCGCAAAACUGCACUCCAACCUGGGCAACAGAGUGAGACCUCCUGUCUCCAAAAAAAAAAAAAAAAAAAAAAAAAAGUGGGUGUGGUUGUGUACACCUCUACUUCCUGCUACUCAGGAGGCUGAGGCUGGAGGAUCUCUUGAGCCCAGGAGUUCAAGUCUGCAGUGAGCUAUAGUUGCACUGCUGCACUCCAGCCUGGGUAGCACAGCGAGACCCCCAUCUCUAAAACAUAAAAGUAAACAGGCUGGGUGCAGUGGCUUACACCUGUAAUCCCAGCACUUUGGGAGGCCGAGGAGGGUGGAUCAUGAGGUCAAGAGUUGAGACCAGCCUGGCCAACGUGGCGAAACCCCAUCUGUACUAAAAAUACAAAAAUUAGCCAGUCGUGGUGCCAGGUGCCUUUAAUCCCAGCUAUUCAGGAGGCUGAGACAGGAGAAUCGCUUGAACCUGGGAGACAGAGGUUGCAGUGAGCCAAGAUCAUGCCAUUGCACUUCAGCCUCGGGGACAAGAACAAGACUGUGUCUCAAAAAAAAAAAAAAAAGUAGAAAACAGAAUAGCAUAAGGAUAAUCUUAUAUACAAAAUAAGACUACUCAAUUUCUGAAUUUUUUUUUUAACUAGAUAUGCCACCUCCUGAUGACAGUGCCCAUUUCGUAACUUGUCUUACUCAGAAACAGCUCUUAGAUAAUUUUACUCUUUAAGUUCAGGUCUGAGCACAGAGGACAAAGAAUUCCCUUGAUUGCCUAUGAAAGAAAGGAUUCUCAACCUUGGCACUAUUGACAUUUUAAGUCAGAUAAUUCUUUGUUGUGGAAGGUUAUCCUGUGCAUUGUAGGAUGUUUAUUUUAUCAGCAUCCCUGGCUUCUACCCAGUAAAUCCCAGUAGCACCCCACCACCAACCAAAACUGUCUCAAAAUGUUGCUAGAUGCCCCUUGGGGACAAAAAUCCUCUCCCUCCCUCCUCCUUGAAUGCCACUGGCACUCCUUGAGCCUACAGAAGGGCUCUUCUCACAAGUUUGAUACCCUGUACCUCCCAGUUGAUAGUGGGAAUUACUUCUCCUUUGAAGACACAAUUCCAGUUACCCUGAGAAGUAUGGCAUUGGCCUUGCUGGCCUCCACCAAAUUACUAUAUCACUGUGUUUGGUAACCCCAGACAUCAUACUAGGGCUUUAAUUUCAGUAUAUAAAUAGUAAAUUAGUAUCCUUGUAUAGGUUAGCUUAAUGAGUUUCAGAAUUCUUCAAGUCAUAUCUUCAUAGGUAGGAUCACUGUGGAGUUAAUGGCAUUUGAACUAUGUACUCAGUACUAUGCUAGUGGUUGGUGCAAGGGGAAGAUACAAAAUAAGGUGUGAUUUUAGCCCAUGAGGAAUUUAUACUUUAUCUGCAGAAGCAAAUUAAUAUGGAACCGUUAGUGAACACCUGGAUAAAACAGAAUGCUAAAUUUUACCCUAGAGGUGCUUGGCCUGGACUUCAAGAAUUCUAAGUGAAUUGAAGUAUGUUCACAGUAAGAAAGGUUAAAAAUGGCUCUGCCCACUUGUAGGCAGAUGGGAAGCUAGGAUGGCAGACUUGCCAAUAUUUGAUAUAUGUAAAAAGUGCAAUCAUGGCCUCUGUUGUUUCCUCUUUUAUCUCGUUCUCUUUAUUAGUCCAGGUUCUCUAGAGGAAUAGAACUAAUAGGAGAUAUAUAUAUAUAUAUAUAUGGAGUUUAUUAA